AUGCCCUGCUUCUCUAAUAAGAAAAACAAAUACAACAAGCGUUAUGAAAGCGGCAACAAGGGAGAGCCUCAGUCCUGGCCCUGAGUGGCCUCCAGUGGGGAGUGGGGAUCUGAUCACAGCGCUGGCCCACCAGCACCUGUGGGGAAUUGGUCUAGCCCUGUGGCCACCCGCCGGCGCCAGGAGGCCUGCCCCUCCUGAGCCCAACCGGCCCUGGGCCCUUGCUCUCUCCCCUUCAUUAAAAUGAUCAGAGCCUCCACUCUGUACCAGCACCCCAGGACAGGACCGUGCCCUCCGGAGAGAACCCCGAGGAACCCGGAGCGGAGCGGGAACAGACGCCGGUGUUGGGGAAGUUGCCUGGGUCGGCUCGGCCCUCUUUUGGCCGCAGGUGUGCGUCUAAGGUCCACAGAGAGGUUUCCUCGCCCGCGUCUCUAAUGCCCAAGAGGCUCCUAAGCAGCUCUGACAGCGAGCAGCCAGGUUGGCUGCGGUGGUCGGAGCUACGGCCCGGCCCACACCGCGGGGACCACGUGCAUCCAGCGAGCCCGGGAUGGGGCCGGGCACAGCCGGCCAGAAUGCGGCGAUGCACGCCGCCGGCCAGGUCCCCCAUUCGCCCAGGAGGGAGGCGGAGCCCAGCGGAGCCCUGGGCGGCCAUUCCGCUGCGGGUCCUGCAUGUACCACAGAAAUACCCUACAGACAGGUGGCCCGUUACUUCUGAAUCCCAACUAGUCCCGCCCAGCACGGAGCUUCAAAGCUGGAGACCUCCCCCUCAGGAGAACACACUGCUAAGAGGCCAGCACAUCUCAGCUCCAAACACAUGCAGCAGAACAACCUGACAGACAGUAGGAAUACACAUCCGAAGUCACCCAAAUUAAAGACAUCCCCAAGACCUCACAAAUACACCCAGCUCCAGACCAUAACCUGACUCUCUCUUGAGAGUCUGCAUGCUAUUCAAUCUGAGUAUGUACUUUUAAACUUCUGCCUAAUAAAUUUCUUUAUGC
Chinchilla lanigera (long-tailed chinchilla) is the source of this 995-nucleotide long non-coding RNA. The record is from Ensembl. Lineage: Eukaryota; Metazoa; Chordata; Mammalia; Rodentia; Chinchillidae.